This 86-nucleotide transfer RNA is filed under the name Roseburia sp. CAG:309. Its description in RNAcentral is "transfer RNA-Leu(CAA)". It matches the Rfam family "tRNA". Rfam says of the family: Transfer RNA (tRNA) molecules are approximately 80 nucleotides in length. Their secondary structure includes four short double-helical elements and three loops (D, anti-codon, and T loops). The record is from RNAcentral. Lineage: Bacteria; Bacillati; Bacillota; Clostridia; Lachnospirales; Lachnospiraceae.
GCGGAUGUGGCGGAAUGGCAGACGCACAAGACUCAAAAUCUUGCGGGGGUGACCUCGUGUGGGUUCAAGUCCCACCAUCCGCACGA